This is a non-coding RNA of Paramuricea clavata, 970 nucleotides long. The record is from the annotation of a GenBank genome assembly. Lineage: Eukaryota; Metazoa; Cnidaria; Anthozoa; Malacalcyonacea; Plexauridae.
CUGUGAUUUGAUGAUUUCUUGUCAGAUUAAUAUUAGAUUAGGGAAAAGAUUAGAUUAGGGUUAGAGGUUAGGAUUAUUAGUCGAUUAUUAGGACUAUGAAUUAACAAAUUACGGUACAGUAAUUCUAAAGUCACUGUAAAAUGGUAUUCAGAGCUGCCAAGUUGAGAUGAUUAAAAACCUGGAGGUUGCUGGGGCCUUUAGUUCGUAGUUCGUACCCCCCCCCCCUUGCAGCGAUAGCCAGACAGAGUAGCGCAGGCAAUAUUUAAUACUGAAAAAUUUUAAUCAAAUUAUGUAUAAAUUGUUGACUUUAUAUUAUUGUUGACCGGGCAUGCUCGGAGAACCAGAUUGCUAUAUAUGCGUUUUUUUCAGAGCAUAGAUGCAGAAUCCAUGCAUAGAGAUUUUCCGUGAGAUUUUCAACACCCACCGUGAGACCUGGAGGUCAGCGCGAAAACCUGGAGACUCACGGGUAAACUGUGAGACUUGGCAGCUCUGGGUAUGUCCGGAAUUUUUUGGGGGGAGAAGAUUUUGGGGAGAAGAUUAAUUACCCACCCAAAUCUUGAUCCAUCCAUCACCGGGCCUGGACCCCAUCAGAUGUUGCUCAUUCGUCGUCCUUUUCAAGACCCCAGUAGGUGCCUGUAUUUCCCUGUACUAGAUUGAUCAAUCUCGUUCCCCGAGCCUGCGAUCCUCGGGAAGGAACGUGCAUGAGGCUCUGGGAUAAUCCGUUUCAGGGAGGAAUCUGAUUGGCCGUUGAAAUGAAAUGCGUAGUUCAAUCUUAGCCAGGAUUCCUGGUUUCCGGCAACGGAUUAUCCCAGAGCCUCGCGUUCCUUCCCGAGGAUCGCAGGCUCGGGGAACGAGAUUGUAGAUUGAUUGGAACAGUUUGAAGCCCAUUCUCGUACCCAGAGCCCUUCUUACGCGCGGUGCGACGGGGGGCUCUGGCCAAAUCCAAAACCGGAUACCAUAAAAACAUGGU